UACGUAGGGUGCAAGCGUUAAUCGGAAUUACUGGGCGUAAAGCGUGCGCAGGCGGUUGUGUAAGACAGAUGUGAAAUCCCCGGGCUCAACCUGGGAACUGCAUUUGUGACUGCACGGCUGGAGUGCGGCAGAGGGGGGAUGGAAUUCCGCGUGUAGCAGUGAAAUGCGUAGAUAUGCGGAGGAACACCGAUGGCGAAGGCAAUCCCCUGGGCCUGCACUGACGCUCAUGCACGAAAGCGUGGGGAGCAACAGGAUAGAUA
This 260-nucleotide ribosomal RNA is filed under the name uncultured bacterium. Its description in RNAcentral is "partial 16S ribosomal RNA". It matches the Rfam family "Bacterial small subunit ribosomal RNA", at positions 524 to 784 of the family's 1533-position model. The record is from RNAcentral.